This 352-nucleotide unclassified non-coding RNA is filed under the name soil metagenome. RNAcentral's name for it is "partial contains 5.8S ribosomal RNA, internal transcribed spacer 2, and large subunit ribosomal RNA". The stretch from base 1 to 120 matches the Rfam family "5.8S ribosomal RNA", at positions 35 to 154 of the family's 154-position model. The record is from RNAcentral.
GAUGAAGAACGUAGCGAAAUGCGAUAAGUAAUGUGAAUUGCAGAAUUCAGUGAAUCAUCGAAUCUUUGAACGCACAUUGCGCCCGCCAGUAUUCUGGCGGGCAUGCCUGUUCGAGCGUCAUUACAACCCUCAGGCCCCCGGGCCUGGCGUUGGGGAUCGGCGGAAGCCCCCUGCGGGCACAACGCCGUCCCCCAAAUACAGUGGCGGUCCCGCCGCAGCUUCCAUUGCGUAGUAGCUAACACCUCGCAACUGGAGAGCGGCGCGGCCACGCCGUAAACACCCAACUUCUGAAUGUUGACCUCGAAUCAGGUAGGAAUACCCGCUGAACUUUAGCAUAUCAAUAAGCGGAGGA